This 500-nucleotide ribosomal RNA is filed under the name uncultured bacterium. RNAcentral's name for it is "partial 16S ribosomal RNA". It matches the Rfam family "Bacterial small subunit ribosomal RNA", at positions 30 to 523 of the family's 1533-position model. The record is from RNAcentral.
AUUGAACGCUGGCGGAAUGCUUUACACAUGCAAGUCGAACGAUGAACCUUAGCUUGCUAAGGGAAUUAGUGGCGAACGGGUGAGUAAUGUAUCGGAACGUAUCCAAUAAUGGGGGAUAACUAGUCGAAAGAUUAGCUAAUACCGCAUACGUCCUACGGGAGAAAGCUAGGGACCUUCGGGCCUGGCGUUAAUGGAGCGGCCGAUAUCUGAUUAGCUAGGUGGUGGGGUAAAGGCUCACCAAGGCGACGAUCAGUAGCUGGUCUGAGAGGACGACCAGCCACACUGGAACUGAGACACGGUCCAGACUCCUACGGGAGGCAGCAGUGGGGAAUUUUGGACAAUGGGCGAAAGCCUGAUCCAGCCAUUCCGCGUGAGUGAAGAAGGCCUUCGGGUUGUAAAGCUCUUUCGCAAGGGAAGAAAACUUAAGCUCUAACAUAGCUUAAGGUUGACGGUACCUUGAUAAGAAGCACCGGCUAACUACGUGCCAGCCGCCGCGGUAA